RNAcentral lists this non-coding RNA (26 nucleotides) under Homo sapiens (human). The record is from RNAcentral. Lineage: Eukaryota; Metazoa; Chordata; Mammalia; Primates; Hominidae.
UGCUAUGAUGUCAGGUAUCUCCUUGC